UUGCAGUUAAAAAGCUCGUAGUUGAAUUUCUGGUCAUUCUUAGUGUCGGCUUCGGUCAUGCUAAGGUUGGCCAUCCGUUUGCAAGCUACGCUCGGCCUUCACUGGUUCGGCGUAGUGAGCUGACAUUUUACUUUGAAAAAAUUAGAGUGUUUCAGGCAGGCUUUUGCCCGAAUACAUUAGCAUGGAAUAAUGGAAUCGGACUUUGAUCCAUUUGGUUGGUUAUUGGAUCUGAGUAAUGGUUAAUAGGGACAGUUGGGGGCAUUAGUAUUUAAUUGUCAGAGGUGAAAUUCUUGGAUUUAUUAAAGACUAACUUAUGCGAAAGCAUUUGCCAAGGAUGUUUUCAUUAAUCAAGAACGAAAGUUAGGGUAUCCAAGACGAUCAGAUACCGUCCUAGUCUUAACUAUAAACUAUACCGACUCGGAAUUGGUAGGGUGUUGUAGCUCUAUCAGGACCGUAGGA
Molecule: ribosomal RNA, 459 nt
Filed under: uncultured marine eukaryote
Lineage: Eukaryota
Description: SSU rRNA
Rfam family: Eukaryotic small subunit ribosomal RNA
Source: RNAcentral